UUCUUUAGAUAACGCGCGCAUGUCUGUGCCGGUUUUAGCGGUUAUGAAUUCACAAUGGUGUCUUUACAGUUGAAAAUAUUUUACAAAAUAACUAUUUAUUAACAUUCAAAUAUUUAAACUAAUUCCAUAAAUAAUUACAUGCAUAUAUCGUGUAUAUUCUAAUUGAUAAACAUAAUAAUUAAAAUAUGUGGUAAAGUUUCAAUACAUCAAUAAUGGCUCUCGAUAUUCGUCACUUAUGUAAACAAAAGUAACAAAUUAAUUAUUCAUUAGAUAUACAAUUCUAUUCCAAUGGAUUACCUUCAUUAAAUUAUGACAAUCUUAUUUCUCUGGCACGCGAAAGGAUUAAAGUCCUCAAAAUAAUCACAACGGUUACGAGAGAUAAUCCUGGCAAAAGUGAUGAAUAUAUAAGGAGUCUUGUAAUAGAAAGGUUGAAAAAUAUCCAAAGCUAUGGUUACGCAACUUUAUUAGCCAGCAAAGAACACCGAACAAGUUCUGAUCAAGAUAUUCAGAAUAGAUUGAUUGAUCAUGCAUCAUUUAUAAUGUUAUCACUAUCAGUAAUUUCUAGUCGUCAUUUUAAAGAUCUCUAGCAGAUUGAAGAGCAAUUAUGUAAACUGCGAAUCUCUGCGCUAGAUGAUGAAGGGAUCAGUGGUAUUUCCAAUAAUCGAUGAGAGUGAAAAACGAGAGCUUAAACCACAGCUGAUCAAAUAUCUACAAAAUCCCGACAGUUACAAUGAAAUUAUAUUUUUUAAAGUGCGAAUUACAACUGUCAUAUGUACGAUAAAUCCUCAUGAAGUUUACUUUAUUGAAGAAAUAGCUUUUAUACCUUUUUAUAAGAUGAAACAAGCCUUGUGUAAUUAGUUUUGGAAUAGUAACUAUAAAAAAAAAAAAAAAAAACAAACAAUUUCUUCUUUGAAUAUUUAAUCUUUAAAAAGCUUGGAAAAUCCUUGUGAAAAAUUUCAAUUUUUAUACAAAUGAAGCAAUCAGGAUUAAAUGACAGCGGAAUAACUGUUAAAGAUAAUGACUACUUAUCUGAAAAUACAUUCUCGCCUUGUACAUGAAUUACAAUUACUGUCAUUGUUGAAGUUAUUUAAAGACAAAUUCACUCAGAGGAUGGACGUUGAGUCAUUUGAGAAAGAGUACGAGUAUUACAUAAAGCAUGCUUAUGUGAUUCAAAACGUACCUACGUUAGCGGAAGGCUGCAAUGACUGCCCUUUACAAAUCACUCAUAUCACUGACAUUGAAGAUCUUGACGAGACUCUGUCGUAGUGGAAAAUUCCAAACUCAGAUAAGUGUGAUAUCAUAGAAAAGUUUAAGAAUGGAAAUUCUGGUGCUGCGUGUGUUCACUAUUUUCAUGUGGUAAAUUCAUUUAGAAUGAAAGCAAUUAUUCAACAUAUCAAUGAUUUUUUUAUCAUAGUCGUUAUGCUCAGAUUUCCUGUCUAUAAGAAUUUCCUGAUGAAGAUGAACAAAGAUUUUUCGAUUCUUUUCGCUUUGAUAUAUCUACUGAGAUAACAGAAAAUACAACAUAUAAUUCUGAAAAUCUUGAACAGGAUGAAAGUGUUGGUUUUAUAAAUUCAGCUGAAGAUAAAUUAAAAGCUGAUGUAGCUCCUGAUGUCAAAAAAAGAAAAACCGAUGUGGCUUUUUAUGAUUGCGAAGUAAAAAUACCUGAUGUGAAUAAAAAAGUUGGAAUAAAUUCAACGAAUGGAAUAAAAAGAAUUAGAGUAGAGUUUAUGGAUAGGUACUUGAGAAUACGAUAUUUCAGUAAAUAUUCAAGACGAAAAUUCGUCUUAAACAACUUUAUCAGUUCUAUUAGAACUAUUAUUGAAAUUUACAAAAAAGCAGGAGUAGAAAUGUUUGGCUGAAGAAUUUAAUUAUAUCAUCUCUGUUGAAAAUAUCAAUCCAGGCUUAAUAAUCAAUAUAUUAAGGCAAAAUGAGUGAAUAUUUAUGCUUAAAUAUUGAAAAUUUAUCAUUGUUAUUUAAGUAACAAAGUUUUAUCAAAACAUUUGCUAAUUUGAUCAAUAAAAUCAUCAUUACAUUA
Long non-coding RNA from Cotesia glomerata, 2035 nucleotides. RefSeq lists it as uncharacterized. Lineage: Eukaryota; Metazoa; Arthropoda; Insecta; Hymenoptera; Braconidae. The transcript has 7 exons. The record is from RefSeq and is a predicted model, not a curated record.